UUGAGAGUUUGAUCCUGGCUCAGAACGAACGCUGGCGGCAGGCCUAAUACAUGCAAGUCGAGCGCGCCCUUCGGGGUGAGCGGCGGACGGGUGAGUAACGCGUGGGAAUAUGCCCUUCUCUAAGGAAUAGCCUCUGGAAACGGAGAGUAAUACCUUAUACGCCCUUCGGGGGAAAGAUUUAUCGGAGAAGGAUUAGCCCGCGUUAGAUUAGGUAGUUGGUGGGGUAAUGGCCUACCAAGCCUACGAUCUAUAGCUGGUUUGAGAGGAUGAUCAGCCACACUGGGACUGAGACACGGCCCAGACUCCUACGG
Molecule: ribosomal RNA, 311 nt
Filed under: Ctenophora environmental sample
Lineage: Eukaryota; Metazoa; Ctenophora
Description: partial Bacterial small subunit ribosomal RNA
Rfam family: Bacterial small subunit ribosomal RNA
Source: RNAcentral